Molecule: long non-coding RNA, 1539 nt
Organism: Theobroma umbraticum
Lineage: Eukaryota; Viridiplantae; Streptophyta; Magnoliopsida; Malvales; Malvaceae
Source: RefSeq, a predicted model, not a curated record
AUGGAAAUAGCUUUCAGACCAAAGAACCCAAUUGUACAAAGCAGCAGUCUGGAACUUGGCUUGGGGAUAUGUUACAGCAUCAAGCGUUCAGCUGUCCAUCAGGAUCAGUGAACCCUUUUGCAUGCUUUUAGUGCCUCACCCUGAAGGUAGGGCUCAAUCAAAGUGGCCAAAACAUUCCUAACCGCACAUUUUUCCUUCUUAUCUGCAGGUUAAAAUCUAGAUUGUCCUUUACCCUUAGAAGUUCAAAGAAUGAGGACCUUGCCUGAUGAAAAUUGGAGGGAUUUUCUUUGAUGGAAGGGUGAAAAAGGCACCCCCUGACACACAUCCGAUAACCAGUUUCUAAAGAUGUGUGUGAACGGGAGUAACCUUAAUAAUCUCAAGGGGAUCAAGCUCUUCAUUUCAUAGGAGUUAAGGUUCUAAAAAGGGGAAUAAAUGUCUCAGAACCCAAAGUUACAGAUCGUGUAAACGUUUGAAAACAGAACCACUCCCAUUACAAGAUUGUUGUGCCUGAUAAGAUACCAGGAAAUUUUACUAUUAUGACUUAUGAACUGUGUCAGGAUACACUCCAGAACCACCGACAACCUUUGCAAAAUUCCAUUACUGGGCUCCAAGUACAUUCGCAGGGUUCAAAUUUGCGCAGAAAAAUCAGUGUUCCAUUGAUUCUGGGUUCUAUGUUUAUCUCUUGGCAUACCAGCUUGGCUCAGAGGACAGCUGAUAGGCCCUGUUGUUGUCAAUGGAACCAUCAUUGCCAACGAGACGUGGGCCUGGUAAUCUUAUUGUUAAGGGUAGAUAAGAAGUGAAUUUACCUUUUCAUUCAGGACGGGCAAAGACAUGUACUCCAAUCCCAAAUGAAGCUACUGAGCAGGCCGCAAUGAACCACCAGCUGAAAGUGGAAUGUUGACAAAGCAUGAGAAACGGUUGCCCCUGCUUAUCUAGUUACUAGAAUGUAAAACACUAUGAACAGGUCCAAGUCAGAGAAAAACAAUACAAAAUUUGACAUUCUGGGCCUGGCAUGAGGAAAGCUGCAAGUGUUUACUAGUGAGGUAGGUUAGGAUUAGGAAAAGCAAAAGAAGUUGCAGAUGAGAGGCUGUUUCUCUUUGGCUAGAAGUGAGUUUACUCAAAGCCGCGUCCCGUCCAGUGGUCAAUCCCACUUUCACUGCACCAGCGUAGAAUUUUUAAGCCUGAUUGUCAGGACAUGCGUGUUCAAAAUGCGCCAAACCUGUCAUUAAUCUAGUCGUUAAAACUUCUGGUAAAGGGCUUACCGCGUCAGGUUUCUGCUAGAUUGGCUUUGGAAUGGUUGUCAAUGUCCACAGGGUAUUGAGUUUGCCUACCAUGCUUGGCAAAAGUGCCAUCAUUCCGGGGCAUCAUUUGCCUAAUUAGUUGACACUUUUGCAACAUGGUUGUUACUUGAGAGAAGUACAUGUUCUAUAAAGGUUAGGGUAUGGACCAAAAGAGAGGGGGAAUAUAAAACUUAUGGAGUUGGGCCACCUCAAAAAUGUUUGCAAAUUAAUGGAAGCAAAGGAUGUGAGAGGUCCAUUA